Molecule: long non-coding RNA, 751 nt
Organism: Homo sapiens (human)
Lineage: Eukaryota; Metazoa; Chordata; Mammalia; Primates; Hominidae
Source: Ensembl
GAGGAAAUUCUGGAGGGCAGACACGUUCUGUCUCUAGCUUAGCUCUCACUCGUUAAGAAUCAACAUCGUCAUCCCAAGUAGGAGACCAGAGUCUGUAAUCUCAGAGAGGCUGAGAUGCUGCCCUCCAGUGUGAUGUUUGUCUUCUCCUGAGGAAGUGGAUGCCAUGUGUCACUUUGCAGAUGGAUCAAGUGCAGGAGGAAGUGAGUUCACUCCCAGACUCUCCUAGGACCUCAGUCUUAAGAGCGAUCACAGCUGCCUGUUAACCAGCCUGAAUGCAAAAAGUGAAAAAGCAUUGCCUUCAACUGGAAAAGAAGGGCACCUUUGAAGGAGCUGCUGCAGAGAGGUCAUUGGAGGAAAUCUCAGCAUCCCCCACGCCCUCCCCUCCCUGUGGCUGGAAGCCAUGGGGGGGCUUUCAUGUUAGGUGCCUGUUGGAGACGCAGAGCUCUGCAGCAGCAGGUGAGCUGAUGCUGCAACCUGCUAAACGCCGCUCCUGCGGAGCGCCAGGGCCCAGAGUGCACAUGGCUCUCAGGCUCCGUGAAAAGCUUGCAGUGAGCUCAGCCACUGAAAAGUCACUACGAAGAUGGAAAGCAAAAUGAAAACCGAGUCCUCGGUACCCUAUGUUUAUCUGUCUCUAAGAGAACAUCCUUGGGUUUAUUUAUGAUUUGAGUACUUCAUAAGAAAAGUAGUAUAAAAUAGAAAAUAAUGUGUUGAUGUCCUAUAUAAGUGAAUCUACUCAAUACAAUUUAUAAAG